AGAACGAACGCUGGCGGCAUGCCUAACACAUGCAAGUCGAACGAGACCUUCGGGUCUAGUGGCGCACGGGUGCGUAACGCGUGGGAAUCUGCCCUUAGGUUCGGAAUAACUCAGAGAAAUUUGAGCUAAUACCGGAUGAUGACGUAAGUCCAAAGAUUUAUCGCCUAGGGAUGAGCCCGCGUAAGAUUAGGUAGUUGGUGGGGUAAAGGCCUACCAAGCCGACGAUCUUUAGCUGGUCUGAGAGGAUGAUCAGCCACACUGGGACUGAGACACGGCCCAGACUCCUACGGGAGGCAGCAGUGGGGAAUAUUGGACAAUGGGCGAAAGCCUGAUCCAGCAAUGCCGCGUGAGUGAUGAAGGCCUUAGGGUUGUAAAGCUCUUUUACCCGGGAUGAUAAUGACAGUACCGGGAGAAUAAGCCUCGGCUAACUCCGUGCCAGCAGCCGC
RNAcentral lists this ribosomal RNA (446 nucleotides) under uncultured bacterium. Its description in RNAcentral is "SSU rRNA". It matches the Rfam family "Bacterial small subunit ribosomal RNA", at positions 26 to 518 of the family's 1533-position model. The record is from RNAcentral.